UACAGAGGGUGCAAGCGUUAAUCGGAUUUACUGGGCGUAAAGCGUGCGUAGGUGGUUCAGUGUGUCGGUCGUGAAAUCCCCGGGCUCAACCUGGGAACUGCGGCCGAAACUGCUGAGCUAGAGUGUGGUAGAGGGCGGUGGAAUUCCGGGUGUAGCGGUGAAAUGCGUAGAUAUUCGGAAGAACACCAGUGGCGAAGGCGACUCGCUGGACAAGUAUUGACGCUGAGGUGCGAAAGCGUGGGGAGCAAACAGG
RNAcentral lists this ribosomal RNA (253 nucleotides) under uncultured bacterium. Its description in RNAcentral is "partial 16S ribosomal RNA". It matches the Rfam family "Bacterial small subunit ribosomal RNA", at positions 524 to 776 of the family's 1533-position model. The record is from RNAcentral.